This 510-nucleotide ribosomal RNA is filed under the name uncultured bacterium. Its description in RNAcentral is "partial 16S ribosomal RNA". It matches the Rfam family "Bacterial small subunit ribosomal RNA", at positions 28 to 507 of the family's 1533-position model. The record is from RNAcentral.
GACGAACGCUGGCGGCGUGCUUAACACAUGCAAGUCGAACGAAGAGCGAUGGAAGCUUGCUUCUAUCAAUCUUAGUGGCGAACGGGUGAGUAACGCGUAAUCAACCUGCCCUUCAGAGGGGGACAACAGUUGGAAACGACUGCUAAUACCGCAUACGAUCUAAUCUCGGCAUCGAGGAUAGAUGAAAGGUGGCCUCUACAUGUAAGCUAUCACUGAAGGAGGGGAUUGCGUCUGAUUAGCUAGUUGGAGGGGUAACGGCCCACCAAGGCGAUGAUCAGUAGCCGGUCUGAGAGGAUGAACGGCCACAUUGGGACUGAGACACGGCCCAGACUCCUACGGGAGGCAGCAGGGGGGAAUCUUCCGCAAUGGACGAAAGUCUGACGAAGCAACGCCGCGGGAGUGAUGACGGCCUUCGGGUUGUAAAGCUCUGUUAAUCGGGACGAAAGGCCUUCUUGCGAAUAGUGAGAAGGAUUGACGGUACCGGAAUAGAAAGCCACGGCUAACUACGUG